UACGUAGGUGGCAAGCGUUGUUCGGAAUGACUGGGCGUAAAGGGUGCGUAGGCGGUGUAGCAAGUUAGAAGUGAAAUACCUAGAGCUUAACUCAGGUGCUGCUUCUAAAACUGCUAUACUUGAGUGCAGUAGAGGAAAGUGGAAUUCCUAGUGUAGCGGUGGAAUGCGUAGAUAUUAGGAGGAACAUCAGUGGCGAAGGCGACUUUCUGGACUGUAACUGACGCUGAGGCACGAAAGUGUGGGGAGCAAACAGG
RNAcentral lists this ribosomal RNA (254 nucleotides) under uncultured bacterium. RNAcentral's name for it is "partial 16S ribosomal RNA". It matches the Rfam family "Bacterial small subunit ribosomal RNA", at positions 524 to 776 of the family's 1533-position model. The record is from RNAcentral.